RNAcentral lists this ribosomal RNA (323 nucleotides) under uncultured Sarcomonadea. Its description in RNAcentral is "bacterial SSU rRNA". The stretch from base 112 to 323 matches the Rfam family "Eukaryotic small subunit ribosomal RNA", at positions 743 to 955 of the family's 1831-position model. The record is from RNAcentral. Lineage: Eukaryota; Cercozoa.
GAUUUCUGAUAUCAAUUGAUUAACCUAUUAUGGUAACAUAAUAUGUGUUAAUUAGAUGAUAUCAUCCUUGUAGAGAGUAAGUAGAGUAUUUCAUUACAUUUUAUUUAUUAUCUACAUCUUUUACUUUGAAAAAAUUAGAGUGUUUCAAGCAGGCAUAUUGCAAUGAAUACAUUAGCAUGGAAUAAUAAUUUAGGACUUGGGUUCUAUUUUGUUGGUUUCUAGGACUGAAGUAAUGAUUGAUAGGGACAGUUGGGGGUGCUAGUAUUCAGUGGCCAGAGGUGAAAUUCUUGGAUUCACUGAAGACUAACUUAUGCGAAAGCAUU